AGUGAACGCUGGCGGUAGGCCUAACACAUGCAAGUCGAACGGCAGCACAGGAGAGCUUGCUCUCUGGGUGGCGAGUGGUGGACGGGUGAGGAAUACAUCGGAAUCUACCUUUUCGUGGGGGAUAACGUAGGGAAACUUACGCUAAUACCGCAUAAGACCUUCGGUGAAAGCCGGGGACCGUUCGGGCCGUGGCGCGGAGU
Molecule: ribosomal RNA, 200 nt
Filed under: uncultured bacterium
Lineage: Bacteria
Description: partial 16S ribosomal RNA
Rfam family: Bacterial small subunit ribosomal RNA
Source: RNAcentral